CAGCCGCCGCGGUAAUACGUAGGGUGCGAGCGUUAAUCGGAAUUACUGGGCGUAAAGCGUGCGCAGGCGGUUCGUUAAGACAGAUGUGAAAUCCCCGGGCUUAACCUGGGAACUGCAUUUGUGACUGGCGAGCUAGAGUAUGGCAGAGGGGGGUAGAAUUCCACGUGUAGCAGUGAAAUGCGUAGAGAUGUGGAGGAAUACCGAUGGCGAAGGCAGCCCCCUGGGCCAAUACUGACGCUCAUGCACGAAAGCGUGGGGAGCAAACAGGAUUAGAUACCCCAGUAGUCCUGUCUCUUAUACA
Molecule: ribosomal RNA, 301 nt
Filed under: uncultured bacterium
Lineage: Bacteria
Description: partial 16S ribosomal RNA
Rfam family: Bacterial small subunit ribosomal RNA
Source: RNAcentral